This 252-nucleotide ribosomal RNA is filed under the name uncultured bacterium. RNAcentral's name for it is "partial 16S ribosomal RNA". It matches the Rfam family "Bacterial small subunit ribosomal RNA", at positions 524 to 776 of the family's 1533-position model. The record is from RNAcentral.
UACGAAGGGGGCUAGCGUUGCUCGGAUCACUGGGCGUAAAGGGUGCGUAGGCGGGUCUUUAAGUCAGGGGUGAAAUCCUGGAGCUCAACUCCAGAACUGCCUUUGAUACUGAAGAUCUUGAGUUCGGGAGAGGUGAGUGGAACUGCGAGUGUAGAGGUGAAAUUCGUAGAUAUUCGCAAGAACACCAGUGGCGAAGGCGGCUCACUGGCCCGAUACUGACGCUGAGGCACGAAAGCGUGGGGAGCAAACAGG